GGAUGUGAGGGCGAUCUGGCUGCGACAUCUGUCACCCCAUUGAUCGCCAGGGUUGAUUCGGCUGAUCUGGCUGGCUAGGCGGGUGUCCCCUUCCUCCCUCAACGCUCCAUGUGCGUCCCUCCCGAAGCUGCGCGCUCGGUCGAAGAGGACGACCACCCCCGAUAGAGGAGGACCGUUCCUCGGUCAAGGGUAUACGAGUAGCUGCGCUCCCCUGCUAGAACCUCCAAACAAGCUCUCAAGGUCCAUUUGUAGGAGAACGUAGGGUAGUCAAGCUUCCAAGACUCCAGACACAUCCAAAUGAGGCGCUGCACGUGGCAGUCUGCCUUUCUUU
This 331-nucleotide small nuclear RNA is filed under the name Chinchilla lanigera (long-tailed chinchilla). RNAcentral describes it as "7SK RNA (ENSCLAG00000022120.1)". It matches the Rfam family "7SK RNA". Rfam says of the family: 7SK was discovered as an abundant small nuclear RNA in the mid-70s but a possible function has only recently been suggested. Two independent studies have found that 7SK RNA binds the CDK9/cyclin T complex (known as elongation factor P-TEFb). P-TEFb activates transcription by phosphorylating the C-terminal domain of RNA polymerase II. Lineage: Eukaryota; Metazoa; Chordata; Mammalia; Rodentia; Chinchillidae. The record is from Rfam by way of RNAcentral.